GGGGAUGACGUCAAAUCAUCAUGCCCCCUUAUGACCUGGGCUACACACGUGCUACAAUGGUUGGUACAACGAGUUGCGAGUCGGUGACGGCGAGCUAAUCUCUUAAAGCCAAUCUCAGUUCGGAUUGUAGGCUGCAACUCGCCUACAUGAAGUCGGAAUCGCUAGUAAUCGCGGAUCAGCACGCCGCGGUGAAUACGUUCUCGGGGUUU
Molecule: ribosomal RNA, 209 nt
Filed under: uncultured Streptococcus sp.
Lineage: Bacteria; Bacillati; Bacillota; Bacilli; Lactobacillales; Streptococcaceae
Description: partial 16S ribosomal RNA
Rfam family: Bacterial small subunit ribosomal RNA
Source: RNAcentral